GCGCGUUCUCAGGGCGGGGCGGAAUUCCCCACCGGCGGUAUGCGGCAUGAUCCGCGAGCCCGCGAGCGGCCCGAGCCACACAAGGCUUCGGGUGUCAGCAGAUCAGGUGAAAUGCCUGAGCCGACGGUCAUAGUCCGGAUGGAAGAGAACGUGC
This 154-nucleotide non-coding RNA is filed under the name Pseudaestuariivita atlantica. Its description in RNAcentral is "Aestuariivita atlantica FMN sequence". It matches the Rfam family "FMN riboswitch aptamer (RFN element)". Rfam says of the family: The RFN element is a highly conserved domain that is found frequently in the 5'-untranslated regions of prokaryotic mRNAs that encode for flavin mononucleotide (FMN) biosynthesis and transport proteins. This element is a metabolite-dependent riboswitch that directly binds FMN in the absence of proteins. Lineage: Bacteria; Pseudomonadati; Pseudomonadota; Alphaproteobacteria; Rhodobacterales; Paracoccaceae. The record is from Rfam by way of RNAcentral.